GUUCCGUAGGUGAACCUGCGGAAGGAUCAUUCAUAAUCAAGUGUUUUAUGGCACUUUUUAAAAAUCCAUAUCCACCUUGUGUGCAAUGUUAGAUCUCGUCAAUCUUGGCGAGAUUUUUAUACAUCAACUCAUUCUUUAACUAAUUUGUCUGAAAAAUAUUAUGAAUACUUAAUACAAAAUACAACUUUCAACAACGGAUCUCUUGGCUCUG
RNAcentral lists this unclassified non-coding RNA (211 nucleotides) under plant metagenome. RNAcentral describes it as "partial contains small subunit ribosomal RNA, internal transcribed spacer 1, and 5.8S ribosomal RNA". The record is from RNAcentral.